GAGUUUGAUCAUGGCUCAGAUUGAACGCUGGCGGCAGGCCUAACACAUGCAAGUCGAACGGUAACAGGAAGCAGCUUGCUGCUUCGCUGACGAGUGGCGGACGGGUGAGUAAUGUCUGGGAAGCUGCCUGAUGGAGGGGGAUAACUACUGGAAACGGUAGCUAAUACCGCAUAAUGUCGCAAGACCAAAGAGGGGGACCUUCGGGCCUCUUGCCAUCGGAUGUGCCCAGAUGGGAUUAGCUUGUUGGUGGGGUAACGGCUCACCAAGGCGACGAUCCCUAGCUGGUCUGAGAGGAUGACCAGCCACACUGGAACUGAGACACGGUCCAGACUCCUACGGGAGGCAGCAGUGGGGAAUAUUGCACAAUGGGCGCAAGCCUGAUGCAGCCAUGCCGCGUGUAUGAAGAAGGCCUUCGGGUUGUAAAGUACUUUCAGCGGGGAGGAAGGGAGUAAAGUUAAUACCUUUGCUCAUUGACGUUACCCGCAGAAGAAGCACCGGCUAACUCCGUGCCAGCAGCCGCGGUAAUACGGAGGGUGCAAGCGUUAAUCGGAAUUACUGGGCGUAAAGCGCACGCAGGCGGUUUGUUAAGUCAGAUGUGAAAUCCCCGGGCUCAACCUGGGAACUGCAUCUGAUACUGGCAAGCUUGAGUCUCGUAGAGGGGGGUAGAAUUCCAGGUGUAGCGGUGAAAUGCGUAGAGAUCUGGAGGAAUACCGGUGGCGAAGGCGGCCCCCUGGACGAAGACUGACGCUCAGGUGCGAAAGCGUGGGGAGCAAACAGGAUUAGAUACCCUGGUAGUCCACGCCGUAAACGAUGUCGACUUGGAGGUUGUGCCCUUGAGGCGUGGCUUCCGGAGCUAACGCGUUAAGUCGACCGCCUGGGGAGUACGGCCGCAAGGUUAAAACUCAAAUGAAUUGACGGGGGCCCGCACAAGCGGUGGAGCAUGUGGUUUAAUUCGAUGCAACGCGAAGAACCUUACCUGGUCUUGACAUCCACGGAAGUUUUCAGAGAUGAGAAUGUGCCUUCGGGAACCGUGAGACAGGUGCUGCAUGGCUGUCGUCAGCUCGUGUUGUGAAAUGUUGGGUUAAGUCCCGCAACGAGCGCAACCCUUAUCCUUUGUUGCCAGCGGUCCGGCCGGGAACUCAAAGGAGACUGCCAGUGAUAAACUGGAGGAAGGUGGGGAUGACGUCAAGUCAUCAUGGCCCUUACGACCAGGGCUACACACGUGCUACAAUGGCGCAUACAAAGAGAAGCGACCUCGCGAGAGCAAGCGGACCUCAUAAAGUGCGUCGUAGUCCGGAUUGGAGUCUGCAACUCGACUCCAUGAAGUCGGAAUCGCUAGUAAUCGUGGAUCAGAAUGCCACGGUGAAUACGUUCCCGGGCCUUGUACACACCGCCCGUCACACCAUGGGAGUGGGUUGCAAAAGAAGUAGGUAGCUUAACCUUCGGGAGGGCGCUUACCACUUUGUGAUUCAUGACUGGGGUGAAGUCGGAACAAGGUA
Molecule: ribosomal RNA, 1499 nt
Filed under: metagenome
Description: bacterial SSU rRNA
Rfam family: Bacterial small subunit ribosomal RNA
Source: RNAcentral